GCGCCUGGCAGGAGGAAGCUGGCCUUGUGUUGGGUCUUUACAUCACAGCAGAACUGGGCCUUAAAGCGCUAGAAGGAAGAGGCUGGCAGGAUGGCCUUGGUAGCAUUCACUGUUAGAGAGUAAGAGCUUGACAACUCCAGAUGAGUGAUAAGACCUACCCUACUUUGGCAAAGAGAAUAUCUGGAAAAUUCUCCCAGAUCUUCCUACCUUGGGCCUUCUCCAGCCCUGAGAUUGUUCCUGGAGAGGUGGUCAGGGAGCGGCAAGGGUUGCUGCUUGGCAGGGCUGUCCCAGUCUCUCUAGCACAUUUAGGAGCAUGUGUGAGUUCUCUGCAAAUGAAGAACUGCAUUGGUGGUUCCUCCUGUCAUUGUCUGGACAGACCUCAAGACUUGAUGUUAAAGAGUGCAUCAGACUUGGUCCUGGAGUGGAGUGUGUCCCCCUAAAUUUGGACUCUGACCCUGGAAUUCCGUCUUGAUCUUGGAGCAGGUAGCCCUUCACCUUGGAGUAUGUACAUGAAGCACAUUCAGAAACAGGCAUGGGAGGGGAGGCCUUCAAGCCUCUCUUCUGCUGGCCUGAGUGUGGGGAGUGAGCCAAUGAGAUGGGACAGGUGACUUUAGAAUUAGCAAACUUUGGUAACAGAACCCAUGAUGGAGUUGAGUGAGUGAGCAAUGGGAUGGGGUCAAGGGUCAAGGGGGCGCUGGAAGGAAAUCAUGGAGGUCACUGGGGAUGUGGCUAGAUUGAAAGGGCCAGUGGGCCAAGGACUCAUGUUCCUGGAGCAUGCUUGGCAGAACACCUGUGUACCUGUGUAUUCCAGUGCGGAAACAAGGCUGAAGGCUCUGGCUGCCUUGAGAUAGAAUCUGGCCUUGAGCAGCAGAUGCUCUGCCCAGGACCCAGAGAUUUCUGGGCCUAAGCUAGAGUGCAGCCCUUGGGGACAAAGCAUGCUCCAUGCUCCAGAGUCUGGUCUGACCUCUGUCUUCUCAGAACUUCUGUGGUGGGACCUUUAAACAGUGUGCCUUCUCUAGGCUCCGGUUCGUCUUAGUCUGUGCUGGCUGUUGUACCAAAAGCUCAUAGACAGAAUGACUUAUAAGCAAUAUAACCUUUGACCCUGAAAUCCAGUCAAGGCAGAAGCAGAUGCUGGAUUGUCUAUGACAUUGAGGGCCAACUUUUCCAUAGGUGGUGUGUCAUUGUGUCCUCACAUACAUGGGUUUAAGGGGCAAAGAGGCUCUCUCUCUCUCUCUCUCUCUCUCUCUCUCUCUGUGUGUGUGUGUGUGUGUGUGUGUGUGUGUGUGUAUAGGCUAGAGGUCAGUCUUGGGUAUCUUCCCAAUUGCUCUUCACUGUGCUUUUAGAUAGCGUCUCUUAAUGAUCCUGGAGCUCACGAAUUCUGCAAGACCAACUGUCCGAUGAGUCCAGGAGUCCCCUCAUCUCUGACUCUUCAGUGCCUGGAUCUCAAGCACACACCAUUGUGCCUGGCUUUUUCUUUGAGUGCUGGGAAUCCGAACUCGGGUUCUCAUGUUAGCUUGACACUCACUUUAUCAACUGAGCCCGAGUCAUCUCUCCAGCCGUGGCUGUUUUGUUUUUGUUCUUGUUCUAGUAAGAGUCUCCCAUUGGCGUGGACCUUGACAAGGAGGUCAGUGAGCCCCAAGAACCCACCUGUUUCCAACCCUGACAGUGCUAUGAUUACAAAUGCGCAUUAUCAUUGGGGGGGGGCUGUGUCUAAGGAUCAAACUGAGGUCCUCAUCCUUAAAACAGCAAGGACUUAAUGGAUGGAGCGAUGUCUCUACUGCUUUUCUUCUUUUGUAAGGACUUGGAUUCUCUUUAUAAGGGCUGUUUUCAUGGUGUACUUAUCCCCAAAGGCUCUCAACCCAGUAGUAUAGAGCAUUAGGUCUCAGCAUUAUGUUCUGACCAUAGGAACAGAGUAGCAGGCAAGUCCAAGGUCCAGAGCAGGUGUCUGGGAGCUGACGGUCAGGGGUCUAAGGGCUGUCUGCAGUUGAGUCUGACUGGGCCUGCUUCCAAGGUUCAAACUGAAGCCGUACUUGUGUUCAGUAGGCCAGGGACUCAGAUACUCCAUGCCAUUAACUUGGGCAGUGUCUGCCUUCAGAAUACCUCAGCUGCAAAAGCAAACAAAGAACUCUCUACUUGGGAACCAAAGGGGCACUGGGGGGCAGGAUCUGUGAUGCCCUUGGAGAGAGAGGCGUCAGGUACUAAGGGCCCUCCCCCACAGGAACCUUGAAACCAUGGAGCUCUGUUCAUGACCCCUCUGCUAGGAUGCAUGAUCCCUGCAACUUCAGGAUGGGGAGUCCUGAGCCCUGUUGGGGCUCAGGUGCGGUUAAGUGGGCUCAGGUGUGGGAAGUGUCAGGGCCCUGACUGAGACUCUGCUUAGGAGUCUCUGGGGACAAAAAUGCCACAGGUGCUUUAGCCAGGAUGUUGAGUCUGGGCUGACAUGACUCAGCCAUGUCUGAGGUCAUAGUGGAGACCCCGCCUUCCAUGGCUUACGCUGUUCCCUCUCUCCUGUGUGGGAUAAGGACCUCACUGUGGAGCCCCUUCUCAGAGCAAGGAGCUAAAUGUGUUCUCUAAUCUCCCUUUUCACCUCUGCCCCUUCUGGGUAUCCCCUCUGGAUGUCUUGGUGAACUAACCAGCAGAUUCAGAUGUGAGCUUUCCUGUCCUUAUUGCUGUGAUCUGGGUCUGUUCAGUUGGCUACUCGGGAGACUAUACUUCGGGCAGAAUGGAUGUCAGAAAGCAACAAAGGCUACAUGGUGCCCUUCGAUGCCACACAUGAGGCAGAAACACAUCUAGAACUCCAUAUUGUCUUCUUCUUCUGGGACCAUUUGUUUGUAAUAAAUUACUAAAACUGGAGCAAAAA
Non-coding RNA from Rattus norvegicus (Norway rat), 2857 nucleotides. The record is from RefSeq and is a predicted model, not a curated record. Lineage: Eukaryota; Metazoa; Chordata; Mammalia; Rodentia; Muridae.